ACCCGCUGAACUUAAGCAUAUCAAUAAGCGGAGGAAAAGAAACCAACAGGGAUUGCCCUAGUAACGGCGAGUGAAGCGGCAACAGCUCAAAUUUGAAAUCUGGCGCAAGCCCGAGUUGUAAUUUGUAGAGGAUGCUUCUGGGCAGCGGCCGGUCUAAGUUCCUUGGAACAGGACGUCAUAGAGGGUGAGAAUCCCGUAUGCGACCGGUUGGCACCCGUCACGUAGCUCCUUCGACGAGUCGAGUUGUUUGGGAAUGCAGCUCUAAAUGGGUGGUAAAUUCCAUCUAAAGCUAAAUACCGGCCAGAGACCGAUAGCGCACAAGUAGAGUGAUCGAAAGAUGAAAAGCACUUUGGAAAGAGAGUUAAAAAGCACGUGAAAUUGUUGAAAGGGAAGCGCAUGCAACCAGACUUGUCGGCGGUGUUCCGCCGGUCUUCUGACCGGUCUACUCGCCGCCGGCAGGCCAGCAUCGUGUGGGUGCGCCGGAUAAAGGCGCCGGGAAUGUGGCCCCUCGGGGUGUUAUAGCCCGGCGUAUAAUACGGCGCCGCCCGCGCGAGGUCCGCGCUUCGGCUAGGAUGCUGGCGUAAUGGUUGU
Molecule: ribosomal RNA, 591 nt
Filed under: uncultured fungus
Lineage: Eukaryota; Fungi
Description: eukaryotic LSU rRNA
Rfam family: Eukaryotic large subunit ribosomal RNA
Source: RNAcentral